RNAcentral lists this ribosomal RNA (901 nucleotides) under uncultured bacterium. RNAcentral's name for it is "bacterial SSU rRNA". It matches the Rfam family "Bacterial small subunit ribosomal RNA", at positions 63 to 945 of the family's 1533-position model. The record is from RNAcentral.
UGAAGGAGCUUGCUCCUGAUUGAUAAACAUUUGAGUGAGUGGCGGACGGGUGAGUAACACGUGGGUAACCUGCCCUAAAGUGGGGGAUAACAUUUGGAAACAGAUGCUAAUACCGCAUAAAACCUAACACCGCAUGGUGUAGGGUUGAAAGAUGGUUUCGGCUAUCACUUUAGGAUGGACCCGCGGUGCAUUAGUUAGUUGGUGAGGUAAAGGCUCACCAAGACCGUGAUGCAUAGCCGACCUGAGAGGGUAAUCGGCCACACUGGGACUGAGACACGGCCCAGACUCCUACGGGAGGCAGCAGUAGGGAAUCUUCCACAAUGGACGAAAGUCUGAUGGAGCAACGCCGCGUGAGUGAAGAAGGUUUUCGGAUCGUAAAACUCUGUUGUUGGAGAAGAAUGUAUCUGAUAGUAACUGAUCAGGUAGUGACGGUAUCCAACCAGAAAGCCACGGCUAACUACGUGCCAGCAGCCGCGGUAAUACGUAGGUGGCAAGCGUUGUCCGGAUUUAUUGGGCGUAAAGCGAGCGCAGGCGGUUUCUUAAGUCUGAUGUGAAAGCCUUCGGCUCAACCGAAGAAGUGCAUCGGAAACUGGGAAACUUGAGUGCAGAAGAGGACAGUGGAACUCCAUGUGUAGCGGUGAAAUGCGUAGAUAUAUGGAAGAACACCAGUGGCGAAGGCGGCUGUCUGGUCUGUAACUGACGCUGAGGCUCGAAAGCAUGGGUAGCAAACAGGAUUAGAUACCCUGGUAGUCCAUGCCGUAAACGAUGAGUGCUAGGUGUUGGAGGGUUUCCGCCCUUCAGUGCCGCAGCUAACGCAUUAAGCACUCCGCCUGGGGAGUACGACCGCAAGGUUGAACUCAAGGAAUUGACGGGGGCCCGCACAAGCGGUGGAGCAUGUGUU